Long non-coding RNA from Rhagoletis zephyria (snowberry fruit fly), 329 nucleotides. RefSeq lists it as uncharacterized. NCBI's taxonomy places the organism in Eukaryota, Metazoa, Arthropoda, Insecta, Diptera, Tephritidae. The record is from RefSeq and is a predicted model, not a curated record.
AGAAAGUGUAGUGCAAGUGUUAAGAGAGAAUCAGAAUUACAGAGGAACGAGAAAUACGAGUACAAAUCAGAGAAAUAAAUAUUUAUUUGUUAACGAACAUUUAAAGAAAGCCGCGAAUGAAGAAGAGGUGAUAACUUUUCAUAGCGCAAAGCUUUUAGAGUUACAGCAUCGUCAAGGUAUUUUAAGUUGAAAAACAAAAACAACAACAACCAACAAACGCGCGCAAUAUCUACCAACCAUUUUUUAAAGAACAGAAAAAAGCAAAAAAUAAGAAAAAUAAUAACAAAAACAGAACAAUUCAGCACCUUUUGGACGUGGAGCAAUCAAAU